AUGCACGCUGGCGGCGUGCCUAAUACAUGCAAGUCGCGCGAACAGACGAGGAGCUUGCUCCUCUGACGUUAGCGGCGGACGGGUGAGUAACACGUGGAUAACCUACCUAUAAGACUGGGAUAACUUCGGGAAACCGGAGCUAAUACCGGAUAAUAUAUUGAACCGCAUGGUUCAAUAGUGAAAGACGGUUUUGCUGUCACUUAUUGAUGGAUCCGCGCCGCAUUAGCUAGUUGGUAAGUUAACGGCUUACCAAGGCAACGAUGCGUAGUCGACCUGAGAGGGUGAUCGGCCACACUGGAACUGGGACACGGUCCAGACUCCUACGGGAGGCAGCAGUAGGGAAUCUUCCGCAAUGGGCGAAAGCCUGACGGAGCAACGCCGCGUGAGUGAUGAAGGUCUUCGGAUCGUAAAACUCUGUUAUUAGGGAAGAACAAAUGUGUAAGUAACUAUGCACGUCUUGACGGUACCUAAUCAGAAAGCCACGGCUAACUACGUG
RNAcentral lists this ribosomal RNA (496 nucleotides) under uncultured bacterium. RNAcentral's name for it is "partial 16S ribosomal RNA". It matches the Rfam family "Bacterial small subunit ribosomal RNA", at positions 29 to 507 of the family's 1533-position model. The record is from RNAcentral.